AAAGACUCUCGGCAACGGAUAUCUCGGCUCUUGCAUCGAUGAAGAACGUAGCGAAAUGCGAUACUUGGUGUGAAUUGCAGAAUCCCGUGAACCAUCGAGUCUUUGAACGCAAGUUGCGCCCGAAGCCAUUAGGCUGAGGGCACGCCUGCUUGGGUGUUGCACAU
This 164-nucleotide ribosomal RNA is filed under the name Chamaecytisus proliferus. Its description in RNAcentral is "Chamaecytisus prolifer 5.8S ribosomal RNA". It matches the Rfam family "5.8S ribosomal RNA". From Rfam's summary of the family: 5.8S ribosomal RNA (5.8S rRNA) is a component of the large subunit of the eukaryotic ribosome. It is transcribed by RNA polymerase I as part of the 45S precursor that also contains 18S and 28S rRNA. Functionally, it is thought that 5.8S rRNA may be involved in ribosome translocation. RNAcentral also lists the same sequence under 1 other name. The record is from RNAcentral. Lineage: Eukaryota; Viridiplantae; Streptophyta; Magnoliopsida; Fabales; Fabaceae.